GACGAACGCUGGCGGCGUGCUUAACACAUGCAAGUCGAACGGAAAGGCCCUGCUUUUGUGGGGUUCUCGAGUGGCGAACGGGUGAGUAACACGUGAGUAACCUGCCCUUGACUUUGGGAUAACUUCAGGAAACUGGGGCGCAUAUCGGAUAGGAGCUCCUGCUGCAUGGUGGGGGUUGGAAAGUUUCGGCGGUUGGGGCUGGACUCGCGGCUUAUCAGCUGGUUGGGGGGGUAGUGGCUUACCAAGGCUUUGACGGGUAGCCGGCCUGAGCGGGGGAACGGCGACAUUGGGACUGAGAGACGGCCCAGACUCGAACGGGAGGCAGUAGUGGGGAAUAUUGCAGAAUGGGCGGAAGCCUGAUGCAGCAACGCCGCGUGCGGGAUGACGGCCUUCGGGUUGUAAACCGCUUUCGCCUGUGACGAAGCGGGAGUGACGGUAAUGGGUAAAGAAGCACCGGCUAACUACGUG
RNAcentral lists this ribosomal RNA (468 nucleotides) under uncultured bacterium. RNAcentral describes it as "partial 16S ribosomal RNA". It matches the Rfam family "Bacterial small subunit ribosomal RNA", at positions 28 to 507 of the family's 1533-position model. The record is from RNAcentral.